RNAcentral lists this long non-coding RNA (2651 nucleotides) under Bemisia tabaci. RNAcentral's name for it is "lncRNA ENSSWEETPG011457". Lineage: Eukaryota; Metazoa; Arthropoda; Insecta; Hemiptera; Aleyrodidae. The record is from RNAcentral.
CUGGGUCACGUGCCACUCUCAGCUACAGCCAAAAUCAAAGUAAGCAUUAUUGAAGCUACAUUUUGCAACAAGGAAUCAAUAUUUCUAGAUUAUCAAUGAACCCACCUGCAUGAGUCAACUUUAUGCCAUUCUUAAAAUGAAACAUAAAUAGAGCUGGAAGUUCUGGUUCUUGUAAUUUCUUCGCCUAUUUUAUGGACUAAAGAAGCUUUAGAAGAGAGCAAACGGAAAUAAACAAGCGAUUAACCAUAAACUCUGUAAUGUAAAAGUAUCGCAGAUGGCAGUAUGUUUUAGAAUUUUGGAGGAAGGCUGAUUGAAUUUGAGGAAGGUUUCAGAACUUUCGCUGAGCUCUAUUUUAAAAGGUAAUAUUGGUCAGAUUCUCACUCAUUCCUGUGAAUAACUUUCAGAUACCAAAGAAAACACAAUUCACGCUGAAGCGCAAGAAAUCAAAAUCUAACAUUGAUUAUGGCGAUCUCAUCUGCCCGAUGGAGCAGGCCAGUGCAAGUAUUUUAAAUAUCGUGGAAUCAGGUGAUGAGCUCUCGAAUUCCGCCCUGAGUCUCUCUGUCUCACUCUCUGGUAAAUCAGGUAUAAAUCACGAAAUUGCUUCUGAGGAGCCCAAUGGAUCCUUGAACCAGAAUGUCUCGACUGUCUCUUCCAAAACAACCAAAUGACAGAAUCAGCACUUACAAGAAUGAACGUAGACGAUCCCCAACUCAGCAACUGCUAACCCUAUCGUCAUAUCAGUAAUUAAUCACAUGUUCUAUCAUCACAAGUAUACCGUUAUCAACAUAAAUCAUAUUUCGCAUGUAUGUCUCAGUGGAUCUGUACCAAUAGCACUGCUAAGCUAGAUAUCCUACCAGUCGGGUCUUCCUAUUCGAUACUUUCUUUUUACCUGUAUGUUUCCUGCGCAAUUUGAAAGCCCCUGCGUAUGUGAUUUUUUUUUUUUUUUUUCUAGUUAACGCACAAUAUCAUGAACAGAUCAAGAAACCAAAUUUGUUAUUAUAUUUUGUGCCUGAAGUUUUUUGGUUAUAAUGAUUCUCUUAAAUGAUACCAUAGGGAUUAACUAAAAACCCCUAUUUUUAAUAUUUAUUCCAUUCAACCUUCUGACCACAAAAUGCUUCAAGGUUGGAAAUUUCUGUACUUCCAACUAGAGAAAAUCGGAACCUAUAUGUUAAUUUUUGGCACUGUUACAAGGAUUUCUUUUAGAAAUGUUACUGCAUCGCAUUUUGAAAUUUGUGAAUCACUCUUUCUUGAAUUUUAAUAUUUAGUUCGAACUAACAAAGUUCUUGUAAAACUUGCUUAAUAUUUUUUUAUAUAUUCAAGUCUGAAAACUUAGACUUGUCAGUGUCGAACUUUUUGUAAGUCAAAAGUAGGAAAAAUGCAUAGAAUGUAUGUAUGUAUGAAACUUCAAACCGUACAAAUGUAUUUCUAAAGGCUCCCUUGAAGGUUUAAAAAUUUACCAUGUGUUAUUUAUCGUUUCUUUAUUCCAGACCAUAAAAGUGGCUGAGGAAAUUAUCCAGCCAAAGUUUUUUGUAAUAACUACUAAAAUUUUGAUUGUUAACCAUACUAUUCAAACGUUCCUAAAAAAAUAAUCACAUGAAGCUCUGUAUUGAUUCUAGAAAUUCCUCAUUGAAGUAACUGCGCCCUCUACUAAAAGCAUCUCCUCUAAAGGUUCAGUUACACGAUCAAAUUGAGCCAUCAAACUGAAGCUCUGAUUGGUGGAAAAAAGACCUGAGGUGAGGAUGCGACCUAUGAGCGGCCCAAUUUGAUGGCUCAAUUUGAUCGUGUAACUGAACCAUAAAAGUUUGUGAUUUGUUACGAGCAAUGAAUACACUUUUAAUUUCUUUUUUACCUUUUCUGGUUGUUGAAAUUGUAAAAUUUUGUGCAGGUCUGAUAACAUACCUUUCUGGUGAGCUUUCAAACUGAUAUUUUUAAUUUUUACUUGUUUGCGGAAGGAAUAAAUGUUAAAAAUUUGCAAAGUGAAAGAGAUUAAUGUUAUUUUUCCCAUGAGGAGAGCUCUUCGAUGCUAAAAAAGAAGAGAAAAACCGCCAUCAGAGCUCUCAGACAUGGCCAAAUUUCCUUCGAUUAUUGCCAAAAUCGACUGUUCGAUUGAUUGAUUUCAUGAGACUGAUUUUAAAUUCGUUCUUUGUAUUUUCAUUCUUUGGAUGUGAACUUAAUUUCACAGUGUUUGGUUGAGUGUUGUAAAGUCCAGACAAGGAAAUCUUUGAAAAAAAUGUGCCAAUUUAAAACCCUUGACUUUGACCUUGCCGCCAAAUUUUCUCCAAGUCAUCGAUGUCUUUGGGAACGCAACUUAAACCACAGCGUUAAUUUACUAUAAUUUCCUUUUAUACUAGUUUUAAUUUCCUAAUCUAAAAUUGUUUUUUACGGAUUUUUUAAAGAGCGACUCGAAUGGCUGUGGUAGCAGUGGCUUUCAGAUCACCUUUUAUACCUACCAUUUUCGACCAAGCGCAACAUAAUGACAAUAUUCUAAGUUACGAUAUCUGUAGUAUUUUGAUGCCCUUUUACCUUGUUAAUUUUUGUAAUAUUUUACUUUUUGAUAGUAUUUUAUUUCAGAGUUUUAAAUUUUAACCCUCCUGCCUUGUGGGUUCUACUGUAGGUGUAAAUACAUACCAUACCAUGUUAAACCUCUGCCU